CAGUAGCCGCGGUAAUACGGAGGGUGCAAGCGUUAAUCGGAAUUACUGGGCGUAAAGCGUGCGUAGGCGGUUCGUUAAGUCUGUUGUGAAAGCCCCGGGCUCAACCUGGGAAUGGCAAUGGAUACUAGCGAGCUAGAGUGUGUCAGAGGAUGGUGGAAUUCCCGGUGUAGCGGUGAAAUGCGUAGAGAUCGGGAGGAACAUCAGUGGCGAAGGCGGCCAUCUGGGACAACACUGACGCUGAGGCACGAAAGCGUGGGGAGCAAACAGGAUUAGAUACCCCUGUAGUCCCUGUCUCUUAUAC
RNAcentral lists this ribosomal RNA (301 nucleotides) under uncultured bacterium. Its description in RNAcentral is "partial 16S ribosomal RNA". It matches the Rfam family "Bacterial small subunit ribosomal RNA", at positions 509 to 807 of the family's 1533-position model. The record is from RNAcentral.